This 396-nucleotide long non-coding RNA is filed under the name Olea europaea subsp. europaea. Lineage: Eukaryota; Viridiplantae; Streptophyta; Magnoliopsida; Lamiales; Oleaceae. The record is from RNAcentral.
UGAACUCUGGCCUUGUUUAUUUCCUUCAAGAAGGAUUCAGAUGAGGUAGAAUGUUUGGACUUGCUGCUUCUACAAAAGAAGCAGCUUAUUUCAAUCGUAUGAUGUACUGCCUAAAGAGCCAUUGAGUUCUCUUUUGGCUUUUAAGCUUAGCCAUCCAACUCGUGAAGUAUCAGUUACUUCCCAAAUGACCAAAAGAAAGAAAAAACUGCCGCCAAAUGAAACUACUCAGCUUCCUAUUUGUGAAUUGUGAUGUGGGUUGAUUCUCUUCUCGUGUUGAUUUUUGUCCAGUAGGAUUUCUACUUUUGAUCAUGCCUUCCUUUCAUUUGAUAUUUCAGCCUUCAUGGAGAAAUGCUUAGCUUCACUAGAAAUUGGAGUUUCUGCAUUCUAAUGCACUCG